GUAUUUGCAGCAUUUCUGUUUGCUGAGCUUCCAUGUUUUGGAUUUGUUGGUCAUAGUAAGCAUCUAGUUCGUUACGCCACAUCAGUUCAACAUAGAUCUCAUCAAGAGUGGCAGGUGCCACAUUUCUUCUUCUGGGUCUUUGGCUGGAGGAUGUACCUACAACAUUUUCAGAUGACAUGUGUGUGGUGUGUGGUUUCCACAUUUCUUCUUCUGGGUCUUUGGCUGGAGGAUGUACCUACAACAUUUUCAGAUGACAUGUGUGUGGUGUGUGGUUGUGUGUCAGUAGCGGAGUAGCUUGCUCCG
This 303-nucleotide long non-coding RNA is filed under the name Lathyrus oleraceus (garden pea). RNAcentral describes it as "Pisum sativum (pea) long non-coding RNA (PSAT_LNC010009)". Lineage: Eukaryota; Viridiplantae; Streptophyta; Magnoliopsida; Fabales; Fabaceae. The record is from RNAcentral.